This 332-nucleotide unclassified non-coding RNA is filed under the name soil metagenome. RNAcentral's name for it is "partial contains 5.8S ribosomal RNA, internal transcribed spacer 2, and large subunit ribosomal RNA". The stretch from base 1 to 120 matches the Rfam family "5.8S ribosomal RNA", at positions 35 to 154 of the family's 154-position model. The record is from RNAcentral.
GAUGAAGAACGCAGCAAAAUGCGAUAAGUAAUGUGAAUUGCAGAAUUCAGUGAAUCAUCGAAUCUUUGAACGCACAUUGCGCCCGCCAGUAUUCUGGCGGGCAUGCCUGUUCGAGCGUCAUUUCAACCCUCAAGCACAGCUUGGUGUUGGGACUCGCGUUAAUUCGCGUUCCCCAAAUUGAUUGGCGGUCACGUCGAGCUUCCAUAGCGUAGUAGUAAAACCCUCGUUACUGGUAAUCGUCGCGGCCACGCCGUUAAACCCCAACUUCUGAAUGUUGACCUCGGAUCAGGUAGGAAUACCCGCUGAACUUAAGCAUAUCAACAAGCGGAGGA